GAGACACCCUUAUGGGGCAGGACUUGCUUCAGUGGGGCUUUGGCACUCACUGAGUCUGCCCCCCUGAGUGUGUCUCU
Molecule: microRNA precursor, 77 nt
Filed under: Myotis lucifugus (little brown bat)
Lineage: Eukaryota; Metazoa; Chordata; Mammalia; Chiroptera; Vespertilionidae
Description: mir-9229 microRNA precursor family
Rfam family: mir-9229 microRNA precursor family
Source: Rfam by way of RNAcentral